UUAAGAUACUAAGAGCAUACGGGGGAUGCCUUGGCGAUAUCUGCCGAAGAAGGACGUGACAAGCUGCGAAAAGCUGCGGAGAGAUGCAAAUAAUCUUAGACCCGCAGAUAUCCGAAUGGAGCAAUCCGGCUGUGGUUAUGCACAGUCAUCCAUACCAUUGAGUAUGAGAAGGGAACCGGACGAACUGAAACAUCUAAGUAAUCCGAGGAAGAGUAAUCAAACGAGAUACCCCAAGUAGCGGCGAGCGAACGGGGCAGAAGCCCAAACCGCGGAAGGAAACUUUUGCGGGGUAGAGGGCCAUCAAUAAAACAAGAACCUUUAGCUGAAUCUGUUGGGAAACAGAGCCGAAGACAGUGAAAGCCUGGUAAGCGAAAGAGGGACUUGCGGAGAUGGUACCGGAGUACUGCGGGACACGAGAAAUCCCGUAGGAAGCAGGGGGGACCACCCUCCAAGGCAAAACACAGAUAUCGACCGAUAGCGAAUAGUACCAUGAGGGAAAGGUGAAAAGCACCCCGGGAGGGGAAUGAAAAAGAACCUGAAACCGUAUGUUUACAAGCAGUCGAAGACCGCUUAAUAAUAAGGUCAACGGCGUGCCUAUUGAAGAAUGAACCGGCGAGUUAUGAGGUCUGGCGAGGUUAAGCAGGAAAUGCGGAGCCGAAGCGAAAGCGAGUCUUAAUAGGGCGAAAGUCGGAUUGCAUAGACCCGAAACCACAGUGAUCUACCCAUGUCCAGGUUGAAACACAGGUAAAAAUGUGUGGAGGACCGAACCUAUAUCCGUUGAAAAGGGUUAGGAUGAGGUGUGGGUAGGGGUGAAAUUCCAAUCGAACGUGGAGAUAGCUGGUUCUCCCCGAAAUAGCUUUAGGGCUAGCCUCAGGGAAGAGAUUACAGGCGGUAGAGCACUGAUCAGGGGCGGGACCUACCCGGUUACCAAACCUAGUCAAACUCCGAAUGGCUGUAAUUAUACCUGGGAGUCAGACUACGACUUAUAAGGGCCGUAGUCAAAAGGGAAACAGCCCAGACCAUCAGCUAAGGUCCCCAAUGCCGUGCUAAGUGGAGAAGGAUGUGGCAUUUCAUAAACAACCAGGAUGUUGGCUCAGAAGCAGCCACCAUUUAAAGAGUGCGUAAUAGCUCACUGGUCGAGAGACGCUGCGCCGAAAAUGUCCGGGGCUCAAGCACGGAACCGAAGCUAUGGCAGACGCAAGUCUGGGUAGGGGAGCGUUCUUAUGAGGAAGAAGCAUGACCGUAAGGACAUGUGGACACAUAAGAAGUGAGAAUGCCGGUAUGAGUAUCGAAAAGAAAGGUGAGAAUCCUUUCCACCGAAAGCCCGAGGGUUCCUGAGCAACGAUCGUCGACUCAGGGUAAGUCGGGACCUAAGCCGAGGCGAAAAGCAUAGGCGAUGGACAACAGGUUGAAAUUCCUGUACCGGAUAAAGUCGUUACGAGCAAUGGAGUGACGCAGGAGGGUACAUGAUCGCGCGACUGGAAGAGCGCGUCCAAGUGAGUAUGUAGAUACAGAGGCAAAUCCCUGUAUCUGAAAGCAGAGACAUGAUGGGGAGUUAAAGGAAACUUUGACGAACUGAUGGAUCCCACACUGCCAAGAAAAACUUCUAGCCAGACAAUAUCCGCCCGUACCGUAAACCGACACAGGUAGGCGGGGAGAGAAUCCUAAGGUGCGCGGGAAAACCCUCGUUAAGGAACUCGGCAAAUUGCAUCCGUAACUUCGGGAGAAGGAUGACCCUGAGUAAAAGAAGAGCAGAAACGCUUAGAGGAGAAAAGGGUGGCAGAAAAGAGGCCCAAGCAACUGUUUACCAAAAACACAGGUGCCUGCGAAAGCGAAAGCUGAAGUAUAGGUGCUGACGCCUGCCCGGUGCCGGAAGGUUAAGGAGAGAGGUCAGCUAAGGCGAAGCUUCGAACUGAAGCCCCGGUGAACGGCGGCCGUAACUAUAACGGUCCUAAGGUAGCGAAAUUCCUUGUCGGGUAAG
RNAcentral lists this ribosomal RNA (1981 nucleotides) under human gut metagenome. Its description in RNAcentral is "bacterial LSU rRNA". It matches the Rfam family "Bacterial large subunit ribosomal RNA", at positions 1 to 1980 of the family's 2925-position model. The record is from RNAcentral.